This is a long non-coding RNA of Pollicipes pollicipes, 322 nucleotides long. RefSeq lists it as uncharacterized. Lineage: Eukaryota; Metazoa; Arthropoda; Thecostraca; Pollicipedomorpha; Pollicipedidae. The record is from RefSeq and is a predicted model, not a curated record. The transcript is spliced from 3 exons.
UGAGGACGACUCGCUGACGGCGCUGGCCGCCCGGCUGCUGUCGCAGUGUCGCCGCCAGGGCUGCGCCCGGCCGCGCGCGAGGAACCCGCGCACCGGCGCCACACACGACUACUGCUCGCUGAAGUGCUCCCGCAUGGACAUGCUGGGAGACCUGAUGGACCAGGGCGGCGCCCUGACUGGCGGCUACAACAUGGAGCUGCGCAUCGCUCUGGAGAUGUCACGGCUGCAGCAGCUGGAGGAGCAGAACCUAGCCAAGCAGCGCGGCUUGGGUCAGAGCGUCGGCGCCACGUGGAGCGCUGCGGCAGACGGCGAGCGAGCGGAG